CAACCACGUGUCCCCUCAUGGGUGCUACCAGAGUCCCUCCCCAGCCUGAGACUCCUGAAGCCCCAGACUCAGGGAUUUUCUUUCCACUAAGCUCUGGUGAGGAAACUGAGGCUGGGAGAGGCAGCCACACAGCUAGAGUGAAUGGUGAACUGGACUAGGAACAUGGGUGGGCGUGUUUCCCACACUGCCCCACAGUGACACAGCGGGGGCGGGGACAGCCCUUAAAAUCCGAUCCUCCGCGAACACCUUGAAUCCUCAAACCUCCAUCCAUCCAAAAGGGGCUCCGCCUUGGGGAGGCCCUUCGCACACUUCUCUACAAUUUGAGGGGCCGUCGGCUGCAAUAACCACAUAGUGGGGCCACUACAAGUCAACAGAAGCAGACCCUCUCUCCAAAAACACAGCAGACCCUGUCUCCAACACAGACUAGGCCUAGUUCCGACUUCCAGAAUGCCGUGGUCCAGCCCUGGCAUUGCUGACUCAUGGGGUCAGGCUGGCGUUGCUCCUCUGUGGGGCUGGAGGGGCCCCAGACAAGAAGCUGAAGCUCAAGGAAGGAGGUUCUGGGACUCAUCUCAGAUCCCAUGGCCAGGAAGCGGUGGCCACUCUGGAAUUCUUGACCCUGCCCAGACCAGCACCUUCCACAGCAGAGACCCCCUCCAAGGAGCGGGCGACGUGUGACUUCCCCAUGGGUGGACUCUGGGCUGCAGUGAUCGGCUAGCGGUGCCAUCUUUAGUCUGGGAGCUGUGUGAAGCCUGCUCCCCACCUUCCCCCUCCUGCAAAUAUUGGGGGAGGGGCAUGGAGGACAGGAAGAUAGAAGCAAAAGUGGCAGUGACCGGUGCAUGAGAGAUUGGGAGAUACGUGCUGGGGAGGGGUUCCCCGGAGCAGAGCUGGCUGCCCUUGGCACUGGGCCCAGGCGGAGGAGUGGCAAGACCAACAGUUCCUGGAGCACAAGUCCCUCAGCCGGUGCCCAGUGCCAGCCAUCGCCAUGUUCUCAUCUGCCAGCAGCAAAAUGAGAAAAAUAAGGACAAUAUAGUGAGGUUUUACUAAAGCUAGGUUUACUCAAUCCAAAAGACUGUCCUUUUAUCUGAGCUUUGUAUUUUCAAUCGUGUGUGUGUCUGUGUGUGUGUGUCUGUGUCUGUGUGUGUCUGUGUGUGUGAGCACAAAAGGACCUUUCCUUUGACAUUUCCUUUUAAUGACCUCAAACUCAGCAAAAUAAAAAAACUGGUGACUAG
This 1229-nucleotide long non-coding RNA is filed under the name Homo sapiens (human). RNAcentral's name for it is "long non-coding RNA NONHSAT175360.1". The record is from RNAcentral. Lineage: Eukaryota; Metazoa; Chordata; Mammalia; Primates; Hominidae.